AGAGUUUGAUCCUGGCUCAGGAUGAACGCUAGCGGCAGGCCUAAUACAUGCNAGUCGAGGGGCAGCGGGGUAGCAAUACUGCCGGCGACCGGCGCACGGGUGCGUAACACGUAUGCAACCUACCUUAAACUGGGGGAUAGCCCGGGGAAACUCGGAUUAAUACCCCAUAACACAGCGAUCUCUCAUGAGGAUGUUGUUAAAGAUUUAUCGGUUUAAGAUGGGCAUGCGUUCGAUUAGCUAGUUGGCGAGGUAACGGCUCACCAAGGCUACGAUCGAUAGGGGGUCUGAGAGGAUGAUCCCCCACACUGGUACUGAGAUACGGACCAGACUCCUACGGGAGGCAGCAGUAGGGAAUAUUGGUCAAUGGAGGCAACUCUGAACCAGCCAUGCCGCGUGUAGGAAGAAGGCGUUCUGCGUUGUAAACUACUUUUGAUUGGGAACAAAUGACUCUUGCGAGAGUAGCUGAGUGUACCAAUAGAAUAAGCCACGGCUAACUACGUGCCAGCAGCCGCGGUAAUACGUAGGUGGCAAGCGUUGUCCGGAUUUAUUGGGUUUAAAGGGUGCGUAGGCGGCUUGAUAAGUCAGUGGUGAAAGCCGAUCGCUUAACGAUCGAACUGCCAUUGAUACUACCAGGCUUGAGUAUAGAUGAGGUAGGCGGAAUUGACAGUGUAGCGGUGAAAUGCAUAGAUNUUGUCCANGAACACCAAUUGCGA
RNAcentral lists this ribosomal RNA (713 nucleotides) under uncultured bacterium. RNAcentral describes it as "bacterial SSU rRNA". It matches the Rfam family "Bacterial small subunit ribosomal RNA", at positions 8 to 718 of the family's 1533-position model. The record is from RNAcentral.